AUACUUACCUGGCAGGGGAGAUACCAUGACUGGGUUAGGCUACGGUUCACCCAGGGCAGGCUCAGCCAUUGCACCCGGCUGUUGACCCCCGCAAUUCUGCAAACGUGGGAGUCUUGACUGCAUACCCUUUUUGCUAGUGGUGCUACAGUCCACAGG
Small nuclear RNA from Solea senegalensis (Senegalese sole), 156 nucleotides. RefSeq annotates it as U1 spliceosomal RNA. Lineage: Eukaryota; Metazoa; Chordata; Actinopteri; Pleuronectiformes; Soleidae. The record is from RefSeq and is a predicted model, not a curated record. The transcript has a single exon.